Molecule: ribosomal RNA, 380 nt
Filed under: uncultured bacterium
Lineage: Bacteria
Description: bacterial SSU rRNA
Rfam family: Bacterial small subunit ribosomal RNA
Source: RNAcentral
AUUGAACGCUGGCGGCAUGCUUUACACAUGCAAGUCGAACGGCAGCACGGGCUUCGGCCUGGUGGCGAGUGGCGAACGGGUGAGUAAUGCAUCGGAACGUGCCCAUUUGUGGGGGGAUAACUACGCGAAAGCGUGGCUAAUACCGCAUACGCCCUGAGGGGGAAAGCGGGGGAUUCUUCGGAACCUCGCGCAAUUGGAGCGGCCGAUGUCAGAUUAGCUUGUUGGUGAGGUAAAGGCUCACCAAGGCGACGAUCUGUAGCGGGUCUGAGAGGAUGGCCAGCCACACUGGAACUGAGACACGGUCCAGACUCCUACGGGAGGCAGCAGUGGGGAAUAUUGGACAAUGGGGGCAACCCUGAUCCAGCCAUGCCGCGUGUGUG